RNAcentral lists this transfer RNA (72 nucleotides) under Camelus bactrianus (Bactrian camel). It matches the Rfam family "tRNA". From Rfam's summary of the family: Transfer RNA (tRNA) molecules are approximately 80 nucleotides in length. RNAcentral also lists the same sequence under 1 other name. Lineage: Eukaryota; Metazoa; Chordata; Mammalia; Artiodactyla; Camelidae. The record is from Rfam by way of RNAcentral.
AAGGGUAUAGCUCAGUGAUAGAGCAUGUACUUAUCAUGCACAAGGUCCUGAGUUCAAUCCCCAGUACCUCCA